This 254-nucleotide ribosomal RNA is filed under the name uncultured bacterium. RNAcentral describes it as "partial 16S ribosomal RNA". It matches the Rfam family "Bacterial small subunit ribosomal RNA", at positions 524 to 776 of the family's 1533-position model. The record is from RNAcentral.
UACGAAGGGGGCUAGCGUUGUUCGGAAUUACUGGGCGUAAAGCGUAUGUAGGCGGAUCGUUAAGUCGGGGGUGAAAUCCCGAGGCUCAACCUCGGAACUGCCUUCGAUACUGGCGAUCUUCGAGUCCGGGAGAGGUGAGUGGAACUCCGAGUGUAGAGGUGAAAUUCGUAGAUAUUCGGAAGAACACCAGUGGCGAAGGCGGCUCACUGGUCCGGUACUGACGCUGAGGUGCGAAAGCGUGGGGAGCAACCAGG